GACGAACGCUGGCGGCGUGCUUAACACAUGCAAGUCGAACGGUGAAGCGACUUUCUUUUUGGUGGGUGUGGAUGAGUGGCGAACGGGUGAGUAACACGUGAGUAACCUGCCCCCUUCUUCUGGAUAACCGCAUGAAAGUGUGGCUAAUACGGGAUAUUCUGGGUCUGUCGCAUGAUGGGUCUGUGAAAGAUAUUGUUUCGGUGUGGGAUGGGCUCGCGGCCUAUCAGCUUGUUGGUGGGGUGAUGGCCUACCAAGGCGGUGACGGGUAGACGGCAUGAGAGGGUCGGCGGUCCCGCAGGAACUGAGACACGGCGCAGACUCAUACAGGACGCAGAAGGGGAGAAUAUGGAACAAUGGGCGCAAGCCUGAUGCAGCGACGCCGCGUGAGGGAUGGAGACCGGCGGGUUGUGAACCUCUUUCGCCAGUGAAGCAAGCCUGCCUCGUUUGUGGGUGGAUUGACGGUAGCUGGAUAAGAAGCGCCGGCUAACUACGUG
This 494-nucleotide ribosomal RNA is filed under the name uncultured bacterium. RNAcentral's name for it is "partial 16S ribosomal RNA". It matches the Rfam family "Bacterial small subunit ribosomal RNA", at positions 28 to 507 of the family's 1533-position model. The record is from RNAcentral.